This 213-nucleotide long non-coding RNA is filed under the name Elaeis guineensis (African oil palm). RNAcentral describes it as "long non-coding RNA (EGUI_LNC048634)". Lineage: Eukaryota; Viridiplantae; Streptophyta; Magnoliopsida; Arecales; Arecaceae. The record is from RNAcentral.
UCGCGAGGCUUCAAUAGGUGUGCCCACUCCAUCCAAGGGAUGGAAAUUUACCAAGUGACCAUCCAAUGGUCAAUAAGGGAGGUGUCCAACCAGAUUAGGUAUGGAGAAAAAUGAGAGACCUUAACCACUUGGACUCUAAGUCUAAGUGGCGCCAAGGAUAAAGGGGCGGCAUGGGUUCAAGCUUAUCCAUUUUUCCCAGUGACUAAAAGAGUG